GUUCAUCACCGAUCUAUUCACCAGCAACGAGCACUACUCGUUCUCAUCAAUAGACGAGGCUGUAGAGGCGAUCUUUGCAAGCUCUGGUCUNNNNNNNNNNNGUGCAUGAGUGUGAAGCACCCUCGAUCUGCAAUGACGUAACCGAGGCAGUUGCAUGGGCAUUUGCAGAAGCACUGGAUCAUUCCGAGCCUCUUUCAGACUGGCAACGGGAUUACAUCGAGCAGAACCUGGGGAUUAUGGCGGCGCGCGCAUUUUCGAGGGGGGGGCGAUGACCCACUCAGAUCAUGGGCCGGGGAGCCCUAAGGGUGAGGUGGNAAGUGUGAGGUGGUGUGAUGGCUAGUUAUUUAGGGACGAUAACCACCUACCUUCUUGGCAU
This 376-nucleotide unclassified non-coding RNA is filed under the name Hevea brasiliensis (rubber tree). Lineage: Eukaryota; Viridiplantae; Streptophyta; Magnoliopsida; Malpighiales; Euphorbiaceae. The record is from RNAcentral.